AAAUUCAAUUGUGUAACAAAUGGGACUUGCUUUUUGGGGCAGUAAANAGUACUUCAUUACAGUUAUUUACAUAGAAAACUACACAUCACCAAAAAAAAAAAAUUCAAGUGAUACCUGAAGGAGGUCUUGAGGAGGAGAGCAAAAGAUUGUAGGCUGUAGUUUACAGUGCUCUGUGUUGGACCGGCUUUAUUGUCCAAGAAAAAUGCUAGCCGUUUUCUGAAUAUCCAUCUAGAAAUUCGUAAUAUUUUUUAUCCCAAGGAGAAAUACGAUUGUAGGAGUCACAUCAGAUCUUCUGCAGAGCACGUCCAUUUUUAAGUAUCUUCCUUCAGCUGUACCUUUUGCAUUCGUUUUUUUAUUACUUCUUGUAGAUCUGCAUAAAAUACUUUGAUUUCCUAUGUCCAGUUGGCUAUCAGUUGGCAUAUAAGGAAUGCGUUGUGCAAUGUUAAGUUAGAAUUUCUACCUUUAAAUGUCUAUUUUUAAGUAAUGUUUGUGAUGUAUUCAUUCAUUUGGGUCAUUGUGUCUGACCCUUCCAGCACGCAGUUUUGCUUGGCAACCUGUUUCAAACACUUCCAGACUUAACUUGAUGCUUUUCUAAACAUUCUUAUUGUGUUUGAAUGUCUGCCUAUCAUCCAGUGAAGUUUCAAGUACAGUUCAGAGCUAAUGAAAGAAGUAAAAACUGCUGGCAAUACACAAUAGAACCCCAUCUGUAGUAAAACUGUAGUUUCCAGGGGUAUGGAUAAAGCUAUAUGAAGGAUGUCAAAGCUCUGAGACCUAGCAGGUGAGACAGUGUAGGCUCAAGAAUUAGGGAGACUUGUUGAAAGGAAAUGAGGUAAGAAGGCAUUGGUAGCGAGACAUAAGUUUAGCAGUGCAAGUCUUCAUAUUCUAAUCAUGAUUGCAUGUAUUUAAUGAUUUAGUACUUCUACUUAACUCCUAAAUAGAUUCAAAAGAUGCCAAAGAUAAUAAGGAAGCAGCUCCUGGGAGUGAGGACUUGGAGCUGGAGCUGGAGAACCUGGAUAUUAAUGAUGAUCCGCUGGAACUGGACUGUGGAGAUGAAGCGGAAGAUCUUACAAAAAAGCUUCUUGAUGAACAAGGCAAGAGAGAGGGAGCAGAUAGCACCGGAGCUGACAGUAGUGACGGAAAACAAGCUGAAAGAAGUGAGUUUUCAGGCUGUUUUUAAAAGAGAAGAGAAAAUGGGGGAAAAAUGGAGCUGCGUGAAUGGAGACAAAGAUGUUGAGAGAGGAAUGGCUAGGGUGGAAGCCAACAAGGAUAUUGGGAGCAGGGGGAGUCUGAUGUUAACAUAUAUCUAGCAUCAUUUUUGUGCGGUUUGUCAGCAAUGGAAAGAACGUGUAGAAGAUGAGUGUUAACACUCCACGAUGUUACUUGCUUAUGCUAUUUAGAGAGCUAGUAAAGCUCCUAGUAGAAGAGCAGAAAUAUGUGCAUCCACACUCAUUAAAGUGUUUUGUGGAAUUGAAUGACUUGAGUCUACAGUCUGAAUACAUUCUUCAGUGAGGCCUUGAUUCAGCAGGAAUGUUGAACGUUAUGCUUAUAUCUGUGUGUUCUCCGGAGAGGGAGGGCCAGCAAUUUGUAUUGGUUCAUAUCAGCUGAAUGUGAUUGCUUCCUUAUGAUCAUACUUGUUACAGAUGUUCAUCUCACAGAGGGGUCGCACUGUGCAAACAUUUCAGUAAUUCACACUGGAUGAUACUACACAGAACAGACAAAACUUUCUGGCAGAAUGGAGUUUUUAGAUGCAGACACUCUUGGGGUUAUAGCUUUGUACAAUUAAAUUGUUUGUUAUCAGGGAGCCAGAGCUUCCUCAGGAGGUGUGUGUGUGGGGAGAGGGGAAGGCAAAUAACUGUUGAUACUGAAAUAGAUGAUUGCUUAGCACCAGCCAUCGCAGGAGAAGGACUUCAACAAUUCUGCAGUGUCUUCUCAUAAUGGGUUAGUUCUGGUCCCUGAAAAUUGCAGGAUUGCAUGAAAAUUUGAUUAAAUGCAAAGGUGUUUCAAAGUGUUUUUUUUAAAUCUCUACAAUGAUCUUGCUAUGUGAUUUAAUCUGCACCCAGAUAAACUAUUAAAAAUACCCUAACGCGAAUUGUCACACAUUGCUGUGAUCACAUUUCCUUUGAUUUCUUUUAAAGAAUUAAUGCAAUUUUGAAACGUGAAGGUGAGAAUGCAACUCAAGAGGAUCAAAAGGAGAAGCAAGAGCUGAAGUUUUUUUUGUUUUUGCUUUAAUUGCACAGUUAAUAUAGUUGCUUACCUCAGAGAAAGAAGCCCUAACCUUUUCAUUUCCUGCCACUGUCAAAUUCUUGAUUUCUCCAGUCUUAAGUCACAAAUAUAUUUCAGGUAUUACAGAAGAUCCUUUUCACUUAUAAAGGGUAUUUACUGCAAGGAGAAAGAAAUAUAGAAAUACAAUGUAAGAAUACUUGCAGUCUUCCAGUGGGAGAGAGGACUAGUGAAAGAGGAGGUAUAAUUGGGAAGUGUGGAAAUGGAAUGUGAUAGUAAGGGCCUUCUGAAGGAUUGCCUUCAGAAGUGACUGAAUUGGUUAAGAUUUGGUUUUUAUUUUAUUUCAACAGCAGGGUCAGUUUGAGCAGAAAAUAGAAAUGAGGCAACAAACAGCACUAGGAGAGGGAAGAUAAAAGAGCAUUUGAAGGAGACAGGAAGGAAUAUUCUGUAAAUAUCUAGAUGGAAAAAUGUUUUUUUCUAAAUUGCUAGUAGAAGUUGAGUAUGUGAGUAAUGAGAGAGUCAGUGCUUUAUUCAGUAUUUAAAACCUCGAGGUCCUCUUGGCUGAGCAGCUGGAACUUCUUUUUUCCUUCUUUCUUAGUGAACCCUUCUGUCUUGUUCUUCCAAUUUCUAAUUGCCUGAGGAAGAGAAGAGACAAUGUCAUCAGCUUCCUUCUCUAGCAUUGUGGAGACAGGGUUGCUGGCAGUGUUUCUUGGAGCAAUUCCUACCGUUUCUUUACUUAAGUUAGACUUCUGUACAUCUCCAGAACAAAGAACAAAGUCCUCUGACAUAAGCAGAGAGAAAUAAAAAAUGCUUUCAGUAACUUGAAAAGAAACGUUAGUCUUAAUAUUUAGGCUGUAAUGACAACGAAUUUUGGGUACUUUUUAGUGUUUUUCAGGAGCGAUUUUCUCACUUACCCAUAUUUUUGCUUUUUGAAGUCUGCCUGUCUGUGUUUUGCUUUCGGAUACCUCUUAAUUAUUGCUGAAUGUCCUUAAGCUGAAAGGAAACAAAAAUUCACCGUAUUCCCUGUUUUAGAAAGCAGUGUUCUUUUGCACUGCUUUGGCCAAGGAGGCGUUCUUCCAAAUGUUUGUUUCUACUCAUUGUUUUGGCUCAUGUGCUGACAAACAAGCCAGACUCUUCUCAGUUAAACCUGGAUAUCUGGAUUUUAACUUUUUUUCUUCUUCAUACCCCUUGUUUUGCAGUUAAGGUGUAGCUGUAGCGGAAUUGGUUUGAAGUCUUCACAGCUGAUGCCAGAAAAAUCUGAAUUUCAGUGGUAGCGUCCUUUAUUUCAGUAAUGUUACUGACUCAGCCAGUAAAUACAGGUCAUUGUCUAUGCUUACUGUUGCAAAACACACAGACGAUUGCUUGAGAAAACAAGUUGCUACUUGCCCUGCAAUUGCUGUGUGCUCAAACCUCCAUCCUUUUCACAGUGGUUCCUUCCUUCAGUUUCUGUACGGGUUAAGGAUUGAUGCUGGCCUGCUUUAGCUUUUUGGCACCUUAAGUGGCCUCACUGGGCAUUCUUGUGCAAAAAAAAGUUCUACUUCUCACAUAGAGCAAACUUUACAUAGAGUAGAAUCUGCAGUUGCCAUGUUUUUACCGUACUGUUUUCUCCCAUGUUUGGGCCUUCUUGUGGCUCUUGUUUUAUUGCCUAAACAAUUUACCACAGUCUUCUAGGAAUGUGCAUUUGUUGUUGCUCCCAACAGUAUAAAUCAGGAGAUAGGGAACUCUUGAUUUUAUUAAUUCAUUAAUAGGAAGAUAAGUUUUAGAGGUGAUACUUUGGACCUUUGCUGGCAUAGACUAUCAAUGGAUUUUUUUAAUUAAUUUGUGUUCAUAUUUCUUUUUUUUGAANUAGAGCACAGGGAAGGAAUAUUUCUUGUGACAUGCUAGUUCUUUAAUUCCUGGCAAUUGCAGCCUUUUGUCUUCUGGUACAGAGCUACUUAGAAGUUUGCUUAGGGAAAGCAAACAGGAGGUUGUGUGAGUUCUUCGCUCUAUGAAUUCGUUCCUGUAGAACUUUCCUACCUUUUAUUUUCCUGUUUUUGUAUAAGAUAGACAUCUGCAGUUGCAGGAAGAGCCUUCCUUACAGAAAUGAUUGCAAGCUUGGAGAUAGAAUUGAUAAAUUCAUUAGAAUGUUUCUUUUCCUUAUGGUAAACUUGUACCUUUAAUAGAUGCAACUUAAGUGCAAUUAUGGAGGAGUUGCUUUUCUUGCUCCUCCUUGCCCUAUUUUUCCUCAGAGGCUGUUUUGAUGCUCCUUCUAGCUCCAACUGUUUCAUCACCAUCUUGGAUUUCCUGUUAGAUUUCACACUGCUUUGAUUCCAUUCCUUUUUAACACUGUGAGGCAAAAAACAGAGUGCUCCUUCAUCAUCUUACCA
RNAcentral lists this long non-coding RNA (4586 nucleotides) under Pavo cristatus (Indian peafowl). RNAcentral's name for it is "lncRNA (ENSPSTG00000010610.1)". Lineage: Eukaryota; Metazoa; Chordata; Aves; Galliformes; Phasianidae. The record is from RNAcentral.